GAUGAGUUGUGGCUAGGGGAGAAAUUCCAAUCGAACACGGAUAUAGCUGGUUCUCCCCGAAAUAGCUUUAGGGCUAGCGUCGAGGAUGAGUCUUGUGGAGGUAGAGCACUGAAUGUACGAUGGCCCCAUCCCGGGGUACUGAGUAUAAUCAAACUCCGAAUGCCAUGAGAUAUUCCCGGCAGUCAGACCGUGGGUGAUAAGGUCCAUGGUCAAAAGGGAAACAGCCCAGACCGCCAGUUAAGGUCCCAAAAUGUAUGCUAAGUGGAAAAGGAUGUGGGGAUGCACAGACAACUAGGAGGUUGGCUCAGAAGCAGCCAUCCUUCAAAGAGUGCGUAACAGCUCACUAGUCGAGUGACCCUGCGCCGAAAAUGUACCGGGGCUAAGCAUACUACCGAAGCUGCGGAUUUGUAGUAAUACAAGUGGUAGGGGAGCGUUCCAUGCACGUGGAAGCCAUACCGUAAGGAGUGGUGGAGAGCAUGGAAGUGAGAAUGCCGGUGUGAGUAGCGAGAUGCAGGUGAGAAUCCUGCACACCGAUAGCCCAAGGAUUCCAGGGGAAGGUUCGUCCGCCCUGGGUAAGUCGGGACCUAAGGCGAGGCCGAAAGGCGUAGUCGAUGGAAAACAGGCAGAUAUUCCUGUACCCGCGAUGGAAAUGAAGGAAUGACGGAGAAGGCUAGCAUGAGCCACUUAUUGGAUUGUGGUCGAAGCGAAUAGCAGGUGCACAGUAAAAUGCGUGCACGGGAUGUAAAACGUGACAGGUAAGCGAAACCCCUGGGGAGUAGCGAAGCAUGCGAGGCCAGCUUCCAGGAAAAGUUUCUAGUGCUAAUUCCAUAGCGGCCCGUACCAAAACCGACACAGGUGGGCAAGGAGAGUAUCCUGAGGUGAGCGAGAGAACUGUUGCCAAGGAACUCGGCAAAAUGACUCCGUAAGUUAGCGAGAAGGAGUGCUUAUGAAAGUAAGCCGCAGUGAAGAGGCCCAAGCGACUGUUUAACUAAAACACAGCUCUCUGCGAAGUCGCAAGACGAAGUAUAGGGGGUGACGCCUGCCCGGUGCUGGAAGGUUAAGAGGAUUUGUCAGUUUCGACGAAGCAAUGAAUUGAAGCCCCAGUGAACGGCGGCCGUAACUAUAACGGUCCUAAGGUAGCGAAAUUCCUUGUCAGGUAAGUUCUGACCCGCACGAAAGGCGUAACGAUUUGGGCGCUGUCUCGGCAGCAGACUCGGUGAAAUCUUAGUACCUGUGAAAAUGCAGGUUACCCGCAACUAGACGGAAAGACCCCAUGGAGCUUUACUGCAGCCUGAUAUUGGAUUUUGAUCAGAGAUGUACAGGAUAGGUGGGAGACGAAGAAGGAUGCACGCCAGUGUAUCUGGAGUCGACGUUGGGAUACCACUCUUGUCUGAUUGGAGUUCUAACCUGCGUCCAUGAAGCUGGACGGGGGACCGUGUCAGGCAGGCAGUUUGACUGGGGCGGUCGCCUCCCAAAGAGUAACGGAGGCGCCCAAAGGUACGCUCAGAUUGGACGGAAAUCAAUCGGCGAGUGCAAAUGCAGAAGCGUGCUUGACUGUGAGACAAACAGGUCGAACAGGGACGAAAGUCGGGAUUAGUGAUCCGGCGGUGCCGAAUGGAAGGGCCGUCGCUCAACGGAUAAAAGCUACCCUGGGGAUAACAGGCUGAUCUCCCCCAAGAGUUCACAUCGACGGGGAGGUUUGGCACCUCGAUGUCGGCUCAUCGCAUCCUGGGGCUGUAUUCGGUCCCAAGGGUUUGGCUGUUCGCCAAUUAAAGCGGUACGCGAGCUGGGUUCAGAACGUCGUGAGACAGUUCGGUCCCUAUCUGUCGUGGGCGCAGGAAGUUUGAGAAGAGCUGCCCUCAGUACGAGAGGACCGGGGUGGACGGACCGAUGGUGCACCAGUUGUCACGCCAGUGGCACAGCUGGGUAGCUAAAUAUGGAAGGGAUAAACGCUGAAGGCAUCUAAGUGUGAAACCCACUUCAAGAUGAGACUUCCCAUUACGCAAGUAGGUAAGACCCCUUAAAGACGAUAAGGUUGA
This 2039-nucleotide ribosomal RNA is filed under the name human gut metagenome. Its description in RNAcentral is "bacterial LSU rRNA". It matches the Rfam family "Bacterial large subunit ribosomal RNA", at positions 803 to 2856 of the family's 2925-position model. The record is from RNAcentral.